Molecule: ribosomal RNA, 369 nt
Filed under: uncultured organism
Description: partial 16S ribosomal RNA
Rfam family: Bacterial small subunit ribosomal RNA
Source: RNAcentral
GAAGGGGGCUAGCGUUGCUCGGAAUUACUGGGCGUAAAGGGAGCGUAGGCGGACUGUUAAGUUAGAGGUGAAAGCCCAGGGCUCAACCUUGGAAUUGCCUUUGAUACUGGCAGUCUUGAGUACGGAAGAGGUAUGUGGAACUCCGAGUGUAGAGGUGAAAUUCGUAGAUAUUCGGAAGAACACCAGUGGCGAAGGCGACAUACUGGUCCGUUACUGACGCUGAGGCUCGAAAGCGUGGGGAGCAAACAGGAUUAGAUACCCUGGUAGUCCACGCCGUAAACGAUGAGUGCUAGUUGUCGGCAUGCAUGCAUGUCGGUGACGCAGCUAACGCAUUAAGCACUCCGCCUGGGAGUACGGUCGCAAGAUUAA